GUCUGAUAAAUAUAAUUUUAAAAAUAUUUUUUCUACUUUUUGGAUGGCCAUGAGAUAUCCAUGAAUCUUAAGGUAUUCUUUUUGAAAAGAAAGUUUUUUGAUGAAGGAAUUGAUGUCAUUAAGAGCAAACUUGGUGAAGCUUGAUAGAUAGAAGAACCAACUCUGACACAAACCAACAGAAUCGAAGUUGAUUAGAUCAAAUCUGAAACCUGAUGUAAAGUCAUCCUUGAAUAGAUAUAGUAGAGUAUCAUAUCAGCCAAACAGAUACUUCAUUUUCUAGAUUUGAGAUAG
Molecule: long non-coding RNA, 291 nt
Filed under: Elaeis guineensis (African oil palm)
Lineage: Eukaryota; Viridiplantae; Streptophyta; Magnoliopsida; Arecales; Arecaceae
Description: long non-coding RNA (EGUI_LNC065159)
Source: RNAcentral